UACGGAGGGAGUUAGCGUUGUUCGGAAUUACUGGGCGUAAAGCGCGCGUAGGCGGCUUGGCAAGUUCGAGGUGAAAUCUCCCGGCUCAACUGGGAGGGUGCCUCGGAAACUGCCAGGCUUGAGGCAGGGAGAGGGAUGUGGAAUUCCCGGUGUAGUGGUGAAAUGCGUAGAUAUCGGGAGGAACACCAGUGGCGAAGGCGAGUCGUCUGGGAUGAUGCUGACGCUGAGGCGCGAAAGCCCAGGGGAGCGAACGGG
Molecule: ribosomal RNA, 255 nt
Filed under: uncultured bacterium
Lineage: Bacteria
Description: partial 16S ribosomal RNA
Rfam family: Bacterial small subunit ribosomal RNA
Source: RNAcentral